CCACGUGUAGCAGUGAAAUGCGUAGAUAUGUGAGGAACACCAAUGGCGAAGGCAGCCCCCUGGGAUAACACUGACGCUCAUGUACGAAAGCGUGGGUAGCAAACAGGAUUAGAUACCCUGGUAGUCCACGCCCUAAACGAUGUCAACUGGUUGUUGGGGGAGUGAAAUCCCUUAGUAACGAAGCUAACGCGUGAAGUUGACCGCCUGGGGAGUACGGUCGCAAGAUUAAAACUCAAAGGAAUUGACGGGGACCCGCACAAGCGGUGGAUGAUGUGGAUUAAUUCGAUGCAACGCGAAAAACCUUACCUACCCUUGACAUGUCCAGAACCCUGCAGAGAUGCGGGGGUGCCCGAAAGGGAAUUGGAACACAGGUGCUGCAUGGCUGUCGUCAGCUCGUGUCGUGAGAUGUUGGGUUAAGUCCCGCAACGAGCGCAACCCUUAUCAUUAGUUGCUACGCAAGGGCACUCUAAUGAGACUGCCGGUGACAAACCGGAGGAAGGUGGGGAUGACGUCAAGUCCUCAUGGCCCUUAUGGGUAGGGCUUCACACGUCAUACAAUGGUCGGUACAGAGGGUUGCCAAGCCGCGAGGUGGAGCCAAUCCCAGAAAGCCGAUCGUAGUCCGGAUUGUUCUCUGCAACUCGAGAGCAUGAAGUCGGAAUCGCUGGUAAUCGCGGAUCAGCAUGUCGCGGUGAAUACGUUCCCGGGUCUUGUACACACCGCCCGUCACACCAUGGGAGUGGAAUCUGGCAGAAGUAGGUAGCCUAACCGCGAGGAGGGCGCUACCACGC
This 788-nucleotide ribosomal RNA is filed under the name uncultured bacterium. Its description in RNAcentral is "bacterial SSU rRNA". It matches the Rfam family "Bacterial small subunit ribosomal RNA", at positions 669 to 1462 of the family's 1533-position model. The record is from RNAcentral.